GCUGUAACACUGAUGGGGCUGCUCUACCAGAAACAGAUGAAGAUACUACAGUAUGCUGUUACACUGAUGGGGCUGCUCUACCAGAAACAGAUGAAGAUACCACAGUAUGCUGUUACACUGAUGGGGCUGCUCUACCUGAAACAUAUGAAGAUACCACAGUAUGCUGUUACACUGAUGGGGCUGCUCUACCAGAAACAGAUGAAGAUACUACAGUAUGCUGUUACACUGAUGGGGCUGCUCUACCAGAAACAGAUGAAGAUACCACAGUAUGCUGUUACACUGAUGGGGCUGCUCUACCAGAAACAGAUGAAGAUACCACAGUAUGCUGUAACACUGAUGGGGCUGCUCUACCAGAAACAGAUGAAGAUACCACAGUAUGCUGUAACACUGAUGGGGCUGCUCUACCAGAAACAGAUGAAGAUACUACAGUAUGCUGUUACACUGAUGGGGCUGCUCUACCAGAAACAGAUGAAGAUACCACAGUAUGCUGUAAAACUGAUGGGGCUGCUCUACCAGAAACGGAUGAAGAUGCCACAGUAUGCUGUAACACUGAUGGGGCUGCUCUACCAGAAACGGAUGAAGAUACUACAGUAUGCUGUUACACUGAUGGGGCUGCUCUACCAGAAACAGAUGAAGAUACCACAGUAUGCUGUUACACUGAUGGGGCUGCUCUACCUGAAACAUAUGAAGAUACCACAGUAUGCUGUUACACUGAUGGGGCUGCUCUACCAGAAACAGAAGAAGGGGGAUAGGGUUUGCAAAAUUCCAGUCACUCCCCAAAUUCCCAGGUUUUCUAGAAAUCUCUGUUGGAAGUUUACUGGAUUUCCUGCUUAUUCCCUCCUGAUUCCAGGAAUCUUCCAACCAGUAUUUUAGAAAAACCUGGGAAUUUUUGCAGAGUUACUGGAAUUGUGCAACCCCAAUGGGGAUAACAAUAUACAGCAGGUCCAAGGUAAAAAGGAAGCAUCUCCACAUGGACUCCCACAAGCUAUUCCUCAUAUUGUUUAACAUAAGGAUGAUGUCAUCAUCAGUAUAGACAAGUAUAAAGGCCUCAUUGGAGAAAACUGGACAUUCAUUGGGUCAUAACAUUUGAUUGAGCCAGGGUUGGUGGGAUGGCUUCAUAGAGAGUCUCUAUCGAUGACAUGGACUGACUGCAGGGGGUUAUUCAUCUAAAAGACAAUGUCAGGGGAUGCCUUGCCACAAGUGCAGGCAACUGCUUGAUAUUCAAACCAAAUGUGUGGAAAAAGCAGGUGAACUAGAAAGAAUGAAGAAUACAGUGAUGGGACAGAAAAGGAAUCGUCCACACCUUGCAUGAUUGUAAUGGGUCUCGGUCAGCUAUGUACAUCCGAAUACAUGUUUAUUUAUAGAUACUUCUCUCUAAUAUAUUAAUGUACAAAAUAUAGAAUCUAAAAUAUCUGAUAGGGUUUGGUGUUUGAGUCAAAAUACAAAAUGUCAAAUACAAAACUUUUCGUUGACAUCCUCAGUUGAGUGUCGUCAGUUAAAGCAUGUGUGUCUAUGUGCAUGUAUGUGUGUCUAUGUGCAUGUAUAUGUGCAUGUAUGUGUGUCUAUGUGCAUGUAUGUGCGUCUAUGUGCAUGUAUGUGUGUCUAUGUGCAUGUAUGUGCGUCUAUGUGCAUGCGUCUAUGU
This is a long non-coding RNA of Oncorhynchus tshawytscha (Chinook salmon), 1642 nucleotides long. NCBI's taxonomy places the organism in Eukaryota, Metazoa, Chordata, Actinopteri, Salmoniformes, Salmonidae. The record is from Ensembl.